RNAcentral lists this ribosomal RNA (1101 nucleotides) under Candidatus Uzinura diaspidicola. RNAcentral's name for it is "bacterial SSU rRNA". It matches the Rfam family "Bacterial small subunit ribosomal RNA", at positions 93 to 1193 of the family's 1533-position model. The record is from RNAcentral. Lineage: Bacteria; Pseudomonadati; Bacteroidota; Flavobacteriia; Flavobacteriales.
GACCGGCAAAUGGGUGAGUAACACGUAUGCAAUCUGCCUUUUGCUGGGGUAUAGCCAGAAGAAAUUCUGAUUAAUCCCCCAUAAUAUAAAGUUUCCGCAUGGAUCCUUUAUUAAAAUUUAGGUGGCAAAAGAUGAGCCUGCGUUUGAUUAGUUAGUUGGUGAGGUAACGGCUCUACCAAGACCACGAUCAGUAGGGGGCCUAAGAGGGUGUACCCCCACACUGGCACUGAGACACGGACCAGACUUCUACGGAAGGCAGCAGUGAGGAAUAUUGGUCAAUGGAGGAAACUCUGAACCAGCUAUGUCGCGUGCAGGAUGACAGCCUUUUAGGUUGUAAACUGCUUUUUUAUAGGAAUAAAACCUCCUACGAGAUAGGAGUUUGAAGGUACUAUACGAAUAAGUGUUGGCUAAUUCCGUGCCAGCAGCCGCGGCAAUACGGAGGACACAAGCGUUAUUCGGAUUUAUUGGGUUUAAAGGGUGUGUAGGCUGUUUAUUAAGUCAGUAGUGAAAGCUUACAGCUUAACUGUAAAAUGGCUAUUGAUACUGGUAAACUUGAGUAAGAUUGGAGCAUCUGGAAUGUAUGGUGUAGCGGUGAAAUGCAUAGAUAUCAUACAGAACACCGAUAGCGAAGGCAGGUUGCUAAAUCUUUACUGACGCUGAGUGCACGAAAGCGUGGGGAUCGAACAGGAUUAGAUACCCUGGUAGUCCACGCCUUAAACGAUGAUCACUAGCUAUUGGAAAUACGAUAUUCAGUGGCUUAGCGAAAGCGAUAAGUGAUCCACCUGGGAAGUACAGUCGCAAGAUUGAAACUCAAAGGAAUUGACGGGGGUUCGCACAAGCGGUGGAGCAUGUGGUUUAAUUCGAUGAUACGCGAGGAACCUUACCAAGGAUUAAAUGUAUUACGAAUAAGCUGGAAACAGCUUAGUCUAUACGACGUAUUACAAGGUGCUGCAUGGUUGUCUUCAGUUCGUGCUGUGAAGUGUUUGGUUAAGUCCUAUAACGAGCGCAACCCCUAUUGUUAGUUGCCAUCGGGUAAAGCCGGGGACUCUAAUAAAACUGCCUGUGUAAACAGCGAGGAAGGUGGGGAUGAUGUCAAAUCAU